Molecule: small RNA, 124 nt
Filed under: Marmota monax (woodchuck)
Lineage: Eukaryota; Metazoa; Chordata; Mammalia; Rodentia; Sciuridae
Source: RNAcentral
GCCUGGUGUGGUGGAGCACACCUGUAAUCUCAGCAGCUCAGAGGCUGAGACAGGAGGAUAGAGAGUUCAAAGCCAGCCUCAGCAAAAAUGAGGUGCUAAGCAACUCAGUGAGACCCUGUCUCUA